RNAcentral lists this ribosomal RNA (479 nucleotides) under Eupheno histrionicus. RNAcentral's name for it is "partial 16S ribosomal RNA". It matches the Rfam family "Bacterial large subunit ribosomal RNA", at positions 1808 to 2560 of the family's 2925-position model. The record is from RNAcentral. Lineage: Eukaryota; Metazoa; Arthropoda; Insecta; Hemiptera; Reduviidae.
CAAAAACAUGUCUUUUUGAAUAUUUAUUUAAAGUCUAGCCUGCCCAAUGAGGAAUUGAAUGGCCGCGGUACUUUAACCGUGCUAAGGUAGCAUAAUCAUUUGUCUUUUAAUUGAAGGCUGGAAUGAAGGGUUGGACGAAAUAUCUGCUUUCUUUGGUUUUAUUGAAUGAAUUUAAUUUUUUAGUUAAAAAGCUAAAAUUUUUUUAUUGGACGAGAAGACCCUAUAGAUCUUUAUAUUAUUUGUCUUUCCAUUUUUUGGUGAAUUCAUUAAUGUUAUUUCAAAUUUUAUUUGAUUGGGGUGAUUGUGGAAUUUAUAUAACUUCUAUUAUCUGUUUUCAUGAAUUAAUGUUUUUUUGAUCCAUUUUUAUUGAUUAUAAGUUUAAGUUACCUUAGGGAUAACAGCGUAAUUUUUUCGGAGAGUUCUUAUCGAUGAAGGAGUUUGCGACCUCGAUGUUGGAUUAAAAUAAKUGGUGUAAUGCA